UACGGGAGCAGCAGUGGGAAUAUUGGACAAUGGACCAAAAGUCUGAUCCAGCAAUUCUGUGUGUUUGAUGAAGGCCUUCGGGUUGUAAAGAACUUUCAGUGGGGAAGAAGCAAGUGACGGUACCCACAGAAGAAGCGACGGCUAAAUACGUGCCAGCAGCCGCGGUAAUACGUAUGUCGCAAGCGUUAUCCGGAAUUAUUGGGCAUAAAGGGCGUCUAGGCGGUCUAAUAAGUCUGAUGUGAAAAUAGCGGGGCUCAACUCCGUAUUGCGUUGGAAACUGUUAGACUAGAGUUUUGGAGAGGUAGGCGGAACUACAAGUGUAGAGGUGAAAAUUCGUAGAGAUUUGUUAGGAAUGCCGAUGACGAAGGUAGCUUACUGGACAAAUACUGACGCUGAAGCGCGAAAGCUAGGGGAGCAAACAGGAUUAGAUACCCUGGUAG
RNAcentral lists this ribosomal RNA (440 nucleotides) under uncultured bacterium. RNAcentral describes it as "bacterial SSU rRNA". It matches the Rfam family "Bacterial small subunit ribosomal RNA", at positions 340 to 793 of the family's 1533-position model. The record is from RNAcentral.